RNAcentral lists this ribosomal RNA (253 nucleotides) under uncultured bacterium. RNAcentral's name for it is "partial 16S ribosomal RNA". It matches the Rfam family "Bacterial small subunit ribosomal RNA", at positions 524 to 776 of the family's 1533-position model. The record is from RNAcentral.
UACGUAGGGUGCGAGCGUUGUCCGGAAUUAUUGGGCGUAAAGGGCUCGUAGGCGGUUUGUCGCGUCGGGCGUGAAAACUCAGGGCUUAACCCUGAGCCUGCUUCCGAUACGGGCAGACUAGAGGUAUGCAGGGGAGAACGGAAUUCCUGGUGUAGCGGUGAAAUGCGCAGAUAUCAGGAGGAACACCGGUGGCGAAGGCGGUUCUCUGGGCAUUACCUGACGCUGAGGAGCGAAAGUGUGGGGAGCGAACAGG